RNAcentral lists this ribosomal RNA (468 nucleotides) under uncultured bacterium. RNAcentral describes it as "partial 16S ribosomal RNA". It matches the Rfam family "Bacterial small subunit ribosomal RNA", at positions 28 to 507 of the family's 1533-position model. The record is from RNAcentral.
GACGAACGCUGGCGGCGUGCUUAACACAUGCAAGUCGAACGGAAAGGCCCUGCUUUUGUGGGGUGCUCGAGUGGCGAACGGGUGAGUAACACGUGAGUAACCUGCCCUUGACUUUGGGAUAACUUCAGGAAACUGGGGCUAAUACCGGAUAGGAGCUCCUGCUGCAUGGUGGGGGUUGGAAAGUUUCGGCGGUUGGGGAUGGACUCGCGGCUUAUCAGCUUGUUGGUGGGGUAGUGGCUUACCAAGGCUUUGACGGGUAGCCGGCCUGAGAGGGUGACCGGCGACAUUGGGACUGCGAUACGGCCCAGACUCCUACUGGAGGCAGCAGUGGGGAAUAUUGCACAAUGGGCGGAAGCCUGAUGCAGCAACGCCGCGUGCGGGAUGACGGCCUUCGGGUUGUAAACCGCUUUCGCCUGUGACGAAGCGUGAGUGACGGUAAUGGGUAAAGAAGCACCGGCUAACUACGUG